GCAUUUUCUUCUUCGUCUUCUUCCUCCCAAUGUGAUUUUCUUCUUCACCAUGAAAAAUCAAGUUUUUUUUCUUUUUUUCUUUCCUUGCCUUUCUUUUCUUACUUCUUCCUUCUUCUACCCCCUUGUGCACCAAACCCACAACUUUCAACCUCAUUUUUUAGCACAACCAAACCUAGACAGGGGAAAGAAAAAAAAAUCUCUCAUUCUUUUCUUUAUUUUCCAUUUCUACUCCACCUUCAUCAACACUUGAACUUUCAGCUUUAGAUCUUUAUUUUUAAAGCCAUAAGGUUUCUAUUGAUCUGAAUACCUCUAAGCUCAUCCAGUUUUCAAGAUCGAAGGUAGUUGGAUCCUAGGUCGAGGUGCUUCUUCCUAUUCAUCUUUCGGUAGGUUCACUAUGACUCUCAAUGAUAGCACCCACGCCCAGAGUCACUCCGCUGGUAGUUAAGGGUCUUUGUAUGUAUAUAUGGUAGUUUAAAUGUAAAUUGUGAGAUUUGUUGUAAACACUGUAUGUGUAGUUUGAUAAAUAUUGUCCCCAUAGGAUGGCAUGCAAUAAUACUAUUUGAGAAUGAUACAUGCUUGGUUGUCACAAUUGAUUCCUAAAGGAAUUAUUAUUGAAAAUUAUGAACUGUGGAUUUUAAAAAAAUA
Non-coding RNA from Theobroma cacao (cacao), 645 nucleotides. Lineage: Eukaryota; Viridiplantae; Streptophyta; Magnoliopsida; Malvales; Malvaceae. The record is from RefSeq and is a predicted model, not a curated record.